This 253-nucleotide unclassified non-coding RNA is filed under the name uncultured Oligoflexales bacterium. RNAcentral describes it as "contains 16S-23S intergenic spacer region". It matches the Rfam family "Bacterial small subunit ribosomal RNA", at positions 524 to 776 of the family's 1533-position model. The record is from RNAcentral. Lineage: Bacteria; Pseudomonadati; Bdellovibrionota; Oligoflexia; Oligoflexales.
UACAGAGGGUGCAAGCGUUGUUCGGAAUUACGGGGCGUAAAGCGAGCGUAGGCGGUAUUGAGAGUCAUAGGUGAAAUCCCAGGGCUUAACCCUGGAACUGCCCGUGAGACCUCAGUACUAGAGUGUGAGAGGGGAUAGUGGAAUACCAAGUGUAGCGGUGAAAUGCGUAGAGAUUUGGUGGAACACCGGUGGCGAAGGCGGCUAUCUGGCUCACAACUGACGAUCAGGCUCGAAAGCGUGGGGAGCAAACAGG